Molecule: RNA transcript, 2568 nt
Organism: Syzygium oleosum
Lineage: Eukaryota; Viridiplantae; Streptophyta; Magnoliopsida; Myrtales; Myrtaceae
Gene name: protein HEAT-STRESS-ASSOCIATED 32
Exons: 7
Source: RefSeq, a predicted model, not a curated record
CUCCGAUCGAAGGCCGCUGCAAGCUGCUGUCAACUGGAAGCUCGCCCGCGCGGGAUCGUUCGCUCGCUCGCUCGCUCGCCGGAGGAUCGGGGGAGGAUGUCGGCCUACCGGUGGAAGAGCUUCGCGGAGGACGAGGACCGCCCCGAGAAGCCCCGGCGGCACGGCGUCACGGAGAUCAGGGGCCCUCACUACUCCUUCCUCAACCAGAACCUCCUCCAGGAUAUUUUCGAGUCGAUGGGGCCAUUUGUCGAUGGGUUGAAGUUCUCCGGGGGCUCGCACAGUCUGAUGCCCAAGUCUUUUGUCAAGGAGAUUACCGAUAUAGCGCACGAGCAUAACGUGUAUGUAAGCACCGGGGAUUGGGCCGAGCAUUUGCUGCGCCAGGGUCCGUCGGCUUUCAAAGAAUAUGUUCAGGAGUGUAAGCAGUUGGGGUUCGACACGGUCGAGCUAAAUGUCGGGACUCUGGAAAUCCCAGAAGACACUCUGCUGAGAUUCGUGCGAACUGUUAAGAGUGGUGGUCUUAGAGCCAAGCCACUGUUUGCAGUGAAGUUUAACAAAUCUGACAUCCCUAGAGCUGGUGAUAGAGCCUUUGGGGCAUAUGUAGUUCCAGAGCCUCGAAGUUCCGAAUUCAUCGAAGAUGUUGAUCUCUUGAUCAGAAGGGCAGAGAGAUGCUUGGAAGCUGGGGCAGACAUGAUAAUGAUAGAUCCUGAUGAUGUCUGCGAUGCUGAUGCUGUCCGAUCAGACAUUAUCGCGAAGAUUGUAGGACGUCUAGGUCUUGAGAAAACCAUGUUUGAAGCAUCAAAUGCUAGAACCUCGGAGUGGUUCAUCCAACGCUAUGGUCCCAGGGUUAACCUUUUUGUCGAUCACUCUCAAGUCAUGGAUUUGGAGUGUCUCAGAGGGCGCAAGCUGGGUAAAAACCAUUCAUCGGUUCUUGGAUCCUCCUACUUUCUGUUCUGAAUAGGAGAUUGUAAAGAUCUUAACCAUGUUCUGCAAUCGAAAGUGCAGAAGUAGUAGAUAAGUUUGUCUAUUGAUAUGGAAGAAGGAAAGCUUAAUUUAAAAGACCACCCGGGGCCAACCAAGACGAUGUCAGUCACCAAGUCUCUCUUCAGCUGUAAGUGUACCGGCCCUUUUCUCUCUUAAUGGGUUUUUCCAUUGUACGAAGGGCAGUCAUUCCCAGAAGUCCGAAAUCGAUCCAAGGAGCUACUAGUCGUCCCUUUCAUAUAUCAUGGGGGCCAUCCGCCAAGAAAGAAUAUAAGUUUAGAGGUAGUUCUCUAUCGUAGUUUUAGCCCGCACUGGUUCGCGUUUCAUGCGUUUUGUAAUAUUAUAAGACGCGUUUGCAUACUUUUGUCAUUCGUUAACACAUCUGUUCACAAACAUCUGCAUGUGCACUUCUAGGCAUAGAAUGAUUGGUCAGAUCGCUUUUGUUCUUGUGGUUGACCAGUAUAGUUGUUCUGCUCGAUAGCGUCUGUUCUCCUAUAACAUUAGUGUCAUUAGUAAGGGGCUGCCGCCAGAUAUUUUGUUCCUUCUACCUUUCCUGCGCCUGCUUAUGGUGUGCCGUUUUUGGUCUAACGGAGGUGGUACUUGUGCUUACCAUUACUCAGAUCAAGAAUGAUUACUGGCCGCCCUAGCACUAGAAGAACAAUUGGGUUGGGACAAGUAGCAGUUUAGAUUAAUCCAGCAACCCUGAUCAUCGGAAACUAUUUUCUCCGUUAACGAACGGCUGUUUUCUUGAGUACAAUGACUAGGUGGACCGCACGACUGGGUCGUGCAUGCAGGAAUGUGUCGUCCUGAUCAAAUGAACAAAGAACAUGACAAUUCAACUCUCUCCCUACAAAGAAGAAGCGGAGGAAUCUGAGCAUGUGCUCCAUCCAUCUGUUCUUGAUGGCGAGUAAAGGCAUUACUGGUAAGGAAUCUAUUUCUCAGAAGUCUAGACCGAUUACCCUCAACUUCUGAUUGAGCAGAGGCUGGUUUCGUAUACUCUACUUCUCUUGCUAUUUGGAUAAUAUCUCUGAAUCACUAUAGUCCUUAAGAUUGGGUAUAAACUAACAAGGCAGGCCCUAGUCUGCUCCUGAUCAGUGCCGUUCGACGCGCAGAGACGAGUCAUCCGAGCUUCCGUCUCAUGCGUGAAAGAGUCGCAUUUCAAAUUCGACCGAGUAGAUGGGACUGAGUCUAAGGGCGUUGAAACGUCGAGCGAGCCGACACAAGUUUUCCAAUGAAUGGAUGACUACGUCAAUCAAUCCGAAAGAUGCAAACAAAAACGUUAGGAAGCUCGAGUGGGACUUCAACGAUUAAGUAACGCAAGAAAACAAACUUAGUUGCGAUGUGGUUAUGGCGUAACCAGGUGACAACUAGAGACUGUUUUGGCUUUUGUAAGGGGGGGCCUGUCCGUGAGAUGCUGACCAGCAGGUUGUUGGUGAUCCUUUGGGUCUACGCUAAGCUGCUACCCCGUUUGUCGUUGAUUUAGAAUGUCCCCUUGUCACAUGUUAAGGAAUACCCCACUUAACGAUGUAUAUGCACGUUCUACAAUCAACUUGGUGAAAACACAUUAGCCGUAAUCGAGUUUAUAGCUUC